This 247-nucleotide ribosomal RNA is filed under the name uncultured Acholeplasma sp. RNAcentral's name for it is "partial 16S ribosomal RNA". It matches the Rfam family "Bacterial small subunit ribosomal RNA", at positions 1138 to 1382 of the family's 1533-position model. Lineage: Bacteria; Bacillati; Mycoplasmatota; Mollicutes; Acholeplasmatales; Acholeplasmataceae. The record is from RNAcentral.
UCCUAGCGAGACUGCCAGUGAUAAACUGGAGGAAGGUGGGGAUGACGUCAAAUCAUCAUGCCCCUUAUGACCUGGGCUACAAACGUCAUACAAUGGCUGAAACAAAGAGAAGCGAAGCAGUGAUGUGGAGCAAAACUCAUAAAAGCAGUCUCAGUUCAGAUUGUAGUCUGCAACUCGACUACAUGAAGUCGGAAUCGCUAGUAAUCGCAGAUCAGCAUGCUCGCGGUCGAAUACGUUCCCGGGCCUU